CUUGAGACAACAGGUUCACUGAUCACAGAGAAAAUUUCUUUUCCCUCAGAGUUUAGGCACCUUCAGGUCUGUGCUGUCACCAAUAUCCUUACUGCUACUGCCAUGGAGCAGGGAUUCAAGAUAACCAAAGGAAGACAAAGGUAAAGAAAAAUAAGAAGUUUUCUCCACUCUCUCUGAGCACUCAAAGAUUGUUUUUUUCACAUCUUGAGCCAGAACUAGAAGACUUCCAUUGCUCUCUCUCUUUCUAUAUCAAUACCCACUUCUGGGAUUCAGGCUUCCUUGGACCCAGGCUGGCAGAUGGAGAGCAAAAAAUGAAAAUACAGAAUUAUCUACAAUAGCCAAGAAGUGGAAGCAACCCAAGUGUCCACCAAACGACAGAUGGAUAAAGAAAAUGAGGGACAAAAUGGCAGCAGCCAGCCUGACCAUUCCCUUCCCAUCAUGAGGGAGAGGGCUGUGGUAUGGACAGCAGCAGCUGACUGGCCACAGGUGCAGCCACUGCCAUCCAGCCCCGACUCAUUCCUAGAAUAAGAACCACCAGACUGCCCUCUGACACCUGCCUCAGCGGUCCCCACCACUCCUCAAACCCUGUCACCGUCCACAGACAAGCCCUGGAGGGGUGGGGAAAAGGUUUCAUUGUGAGAAACCACUGGGGAUCCUGAAGUUAAAACUCAUCAAAGUGUGGGGAAAACUAAGACUGGCCUAGCAGGAUUUUUACUCUCAAGCUAAUCUACACUCAACCUCAAAGAAUUUAUUAAAAUUCACAUUUAACCAUCUUAUCAGUAUACAUCUUCAAGAGCUUUCGUUUCUGGUACAAAAGUUUCAGCUGCAGUUACUUGUAUUCAUCUGUCUCUUCAGAUUUCGAGGUGGUGGUCUGUCUUGUGAGCUCAAGUCUCUGGUGAUUCUAAUAAAUGUCAUUGAUUUUUUAAGUCUUCUCAGAUUUAUUUCUUGUUUUUAGGAUGGGAGUGGUGACUUCCAAGCUUUUUACAUGUGAAAGGUAAACCAAAGUCAACGUGAAUCUCCUCUUCAUGUCUACAACUGAGCAACAGGUUUUUCAAACCUUGUAGCUCAACCCCUACUAUCUGACAGUCUUUCAGACACAGCUAAGAGUCUAUAUAUCUUUCUGUUUCACAACCUCGCUCUGAUACUCUCUGUGUGUUUCAUCAUUCUAUCUUUUAGCAUGGUUAGGAUGAUCCUCACCUAGAAUGGAGAAACCUCCAGAGAUUUGAAUCUGAGAAAACUAAGUUUCCUUGAUUCUUCAGUGUUUUUUCUGACUACUCAAUAGCAG
RNAcentral lists this long non-coding RNA (1285 nucleotides) under Homo sapiens (human). Its description in RNAcentral is "HSALNT0121355". Lineage: Eukaryota; Metazoa; Chordata; Mammalia; Primates; Hominidae. The record is from RNAcentral.